UACGUAGGGCGCAAGCGUUGUCCGGAAUUAUUGGGCGUAAAGAGCUCGUAGGCGGCUAGUCACGUCGGAUGUGAAAGCCCGAGGCUUAACCUCGGGUCUGCAUUCGAUACGGGCUGGCUAGAGUGUGGUAGGGGAGAUCGGAAUUCCUGGUGUAGCGGUGAAAUGCGCAGAUAUCAGGAGGAACACCGGUGGCGAAGGCGGAUCUCUGGGCCAUUACUGACGCUGAGGAGCGAAAGCGUGGGGAGCGAACAGG
RNAcentral lists this ribosomal RNA (253 nucleotides) under uncultured bacterium. RNAcentral's name for it is "partial 16S ribosomal RNA". It matches the Rfam family "Bacterial small subunit ribosomal RNA", at positions 524 to 776 of the family's 1533-position model. The record is from RNAcentral.